AACUGAUUCAGAGGACAGCGGCGGACGGGUGAGUAACGCGUGAGGAACCUGCCUUUCAGAGGGGGACAACAGUUGGAAACGACUGCUAAUACCGCAUGAAGCGUAUUGAUCGCAUGGUCGAUACGCCAAAGAUUUAUCGCUGAAAGAUGGCCUCGCGUCUGAUUAGCUAGUUGGUGAGGUAACGGCCCACCAAGGCGACGAUCAGUAGCCGGACUGAGAGGUUGAACGGCCACAUUGGGACUGAGAUACGGCCCAGACUCCUACGGGAGGCAGCAGUGGGGAAUAUUGGGCAAUGGGCGCAAGCCUGACCCAGCAACGCCGCGUGAAGGAAGAAGGCUUUCGGGUUGUAAACUUCUUUUGUCGGGGACGAGUAGAAGACGGUACCUGACGAAUAAGCCACGGCUAACUACGUGCCAGCAGCCGCGGUAAUACGUAGGUGGCAAGCGUUGUCCGGAUUUACUGGGUGUAAAGGGCGUGUAGCCGGGAGGGCAAGUCAGAUGUGAAAUCCACGGGCUUAACUCGUGAACUGCAUUUGAAACUACUCUUCUUGAGUAUCGGAGAGGCAAUCGGAAUUCCUAGUGUAGCGGUGAAAUGCGUAGAUAUUAGGAGGAACACCAGUGGCGAAGGCGGAUUGCUGG
RNAcentral lists this ribosomal RNA (638 nucleotides) under uncultured bacterium. RNAcentral's name for it is "bacterial SSU rRNA". It matches the Rfam family "Bacterial small subunit ribosomal RNA", at positions 77 to 732 of the family's 1533-position model. The record is from RNAcentral.